GUGCCAGCCGCCGCGGUAAUACGGAGGGUGCAAGCGUUGUUCGGAUUUACUGGGCGUAAAGGGCGUGUAGGCGGAUGCGUAAGCUGGGGGUGAAAGGCCCGGGCUCAACCCUGGACGAUCUCCCAGAACUGCGCAUCUAGAGAGAGUCAGAGGCAGGUGGAAUUCCUGGUGUAGAGGUGAAAUUCGUAGAGAUCAGGAGGAACACCGGCGGCGAAGGCGGCCUGCUGGGACUCAUCUGACGCUGAGGCGCGAAAGCGUGGGGAGCAAACAGGAUUAGAUACCCUGGUAGUCCACGCCGUAAACGAUGAGCACUAGAUGUGCGAGGUCUACGACCCCUCGCGUGUCGCAGCUAACGCAUUAAGUGCUCCGCCUGGGGACUACGGUCGCAAGACUAAAACUUAAAUGAAUUGACGGGG
RNAcentral lists this ribosomal RNA (416 nucleotides) under uncultured prokaryote. RNAcentral's name for it is "bacterial SSU rRNA". It matches the Rfam family "Bacterial small subunit ribosomal RNA", at positions 505 to 918 of the family's 1533-position model. The record is from RNAcentral.